AAGCUUUACCCGCGCCCACCCCACCCCACUCCACACACACACACACACGCACACGCUCGCCCACACCAACACACACAUUCGCUUGCGAGUCGUCAUCGUCGUUGUCUGCGAAGGGAGAGGGAAGGGAAAGCGAGAGGCGUGGCACCGAGUUGCCGCGUACAUCCACGGAGAGAACGCGAAUCGCACAAAACUCGAAAACGGAAGCUCCCAUCAGCGGAUUCGAGGGCAGCGCCAUUAACGAGAGUUCCUGUGUUGCUGUCAUCUCCGUCGCUUCUCCAUCCCAAGCCCCCACCUCUAGCGCCCUUGCUCGUUGCCUCUCACAGCUUGCUCGUGUAUGGGGUCGAUGUCUCGCGAGCUGGCCACGACAACGGCGACGCCCUCGUCACUUUCUCCGGCGGAGCACCGUCGCGGCGGUGGUGAGAGGCUGCCACUGGGCAAGUUGCUGGAUCCGCUUCGCUGGUACUGCAAGUGGGUACGUGCGAAUCCGGAGGGCGCUUCAAGCCUGGAGCAGUUCUCGCGUACCCUCACCAUGCUGUGGUCUGACCCGACGAACCUGAUCACCUCGGAAGCAUGCUUUACACUGUGCAAGCUGCACACCUUUUCCAACUUCGCCAUCAUCUCUUCGGGCGGUCGCCGGACGAGCAAAACGGAGCUGCUGUCCCUCGUGCUGCGAGGCAUCCAAGAGGUGGAGUGCCUGAUGGAGCUGAUCCACCGCAAUUACGCCGGCCACCGUCGCACGUGGAAUGCGCUGCUCCUACUAGAGGCAGUCAAGUGCACGCUGAAGGCGUGCGUGCACCGUCAGCUCUUCCUCGUGCCAUGGCUAUGGGAGUCAAUGAAGGUGUCGCUGCGCCGUGCCCUGCGCCACCUGACCACCCUCACGCCGCGCCGUCGUGUGCGCGGCGGCGGCAACGGCGGUGUCGCCUCCGGCGCCGGCGGCAGCGGUGCUGGCAGCUUUGCCGCGUGGGCCUCUGGCGCUGGCGUUGUCGGAACCUACGCCGGUCCUCUCACGCAGGUGGACUAUAGUGGCGGCAGCGGCGGCCUAUGCGGCGAGGUCGUGGGGCCGCACAACACGCGCCUCGUCAUCCCGCGAGUCGCCUCUGGCCGGCGCCACGAGCACCGCCACGUGUACAGGGCGGGUGCCAGCUGCGCCGCCGACGAAGGAGAGGAGCACGUCACCUUCGCGCAGGAAGGGGACGUGGACGAGGAACUGGAGGAGGCGGAGGCGAUUGGGUUCACGUGGGUCGACGUGCUUGGCAUGAUCCUGGACAUGUACCUUCUCCUGCGCCCUGUCCUCCUCGUAGCGAUGGCGCGGCACGCAUUCCUGGCGCUGCCAGAGGAAACCACCAACUUGAUAGCUGUGCUGCCACCGCCUGUGUCGAAGGAGGAAAUGGCGGCGGCAGCCGAGGCAGCCGCCAAGGCUGCGGAAGAGGCGAAGAAGACAGGGACGCCGGUGAAGCCGACGCCGGGGCCCGACCCACUCGCGGCGCUCCACAAGGCAAUGGCCGCCGCACCGCAGCAGACAUUGCUGGGCAGCUGGCGCGUGUGGGCUGGGGUGACGGGGUGCGACUUCCUUGUCGCUCUUCUCGCCCGCCUCGUGCGCCACCACCGCGUGCCCGUGGUGUACAUCAAGGACAACGCCGAGAGCGACGACGGCGGCACGCCGGUGGCCUUGCUGGAGGGCGGUGAGGCAGCGUCGAUACAGGGAGGCGGCGCCGACGCGGCAGACGGCUUUGCCGCCAGUUCGACAGCCGUAACCGGUGCGACCGAUUCGCGCGCCAUCGGCGCAGCUAUGGAGCCCCCAGUGGUCUCGCGUGAUCACAUGCGGGUUCAGCAGGCACUGCGCAACGCCCUCUACAACGUCAUGCGCGACCCCUUCUUUACGGCGGUGCUGAAGCAGCUCGUCUACCAUCACUUCAUCCGCGGCUUCGUCAGUCGCGUCCCACUCCUCGGCACGUGCAUCUCUUUCUACGCCACCCACUACCUGUCGAUGCAGUACUACAGCUUCCUGUACACCCUGCGGCAGUAGGGUGGAGAGAGGACGAGUGAGCGAGGGCGGGCGCGGAUGGAUAACAAGCAUGCCGUUCACAGGUGCCCCUUCUCGCGGCGCCACUACGGCCAUCAGCACGCCAGCCGACAGCCGUCUCCACCCCCUCCCCUCCUCACACUCAGCAUCGUCAUCAACCUCCUGCGCUGCUGCGGGGGCCGAGCAGAGCGGCAAUGAGUCGACAGUGUGUAGGAGGGUGGGAUGGAAUGCGCAAUCCAGGCAUGUGUGUGUGUGUGUUUGGGGGGGGGGGGCACAAAAGAAUAAGAGAAGGCAUGGCGAUGGCCGGACACACAACAGAAGCGAAGAACCGAGCAACUGCGGAAUGCGCACUCCGUUGGUGUCCGCCCGUGUGCACAGCUCUCCCUCGUGUGUGUGUGUGUGUGUGUAUGCUUAUUGAGUCGUUUUC
This 2450-nucleotide unclassified non-coding RNA is filed under the name Leishmania donovani. Its description in RNAcentral is "gene:LdHU3.15.1100(CDS-product:Peroxisomal_membra ne_protein_(Pex16)_putative)". Lineage: Eukaryota; Euglenozoa; Kinetoplastea; Trypanosomatida; Trypanosomatidae. The record is from RNAcentral.